GACAGAGGGUGCAAACGUUGUUCGGAAUUACUGGGCGUAAAGCGCGUGUAGGCGGCUAAGUAAGUCGGGCGUGAAAUCCCACGGCUCAACCGUGGAAGUGCACUCGAAACUGCAUAGCUAGAGUCCUGGAGAGGAAGGUGGAAUGCUUGGUGUAGAGGUGAAAUUCGUAGAUAUCAAGCGGAACACCGGUGGCGAAGGCGGCCUUCUGGACAGUGACUGACGGCUG
This 226-nucleotide ribosomal RNA is filed under the name uncultured bacterium. RNAcentral describes it as "partial 16S ribosomal RNA". It matches the Rfam family "Bacterial small subunit ribosomal RNA", at positions 524 to 748 of the family's 1533-position model. The record is from RNAcentral.